CAGCAGCCGCGGGAAUACGUAGGGUGCGAGCGUUAAUCGGAAUUACUGGCGUAAAGCGUGCGCAGGCGGUUAUAUAAGACAGAUGUGAAAUCUAUGGGCUCAACCCAUAGUCUGCACGGGAAACUGUCGGGCUUGAGAAUGGGAGAGGUGAGUGGAAUUUCCGGUGUAGCGGCGAAAUGCGUAGAUAUCGGAAGGAACACCUGUGGCGAAAGCGGCUCACUGGACCAUUUCUGACGCUGAUGCACGAAAGCGUGGGGAGCAAACAGGAUUAGAUACCCCAGUAGUCCCUGUCUCUUAUACA
RNAcentral lists this ribosomal RNA (301 nucleotides) under uncultured bacterium. RNAcentral's name for it is "partial 16S ribosomal RNA". It matches the Rfam family "Bacterial small subunit ribosomal RNA", at positions 509 to 808 of the family's 1533-position model. The record is from RNAcentral.